GAUGAACGCUGGCGGCGUGCCUAAUACAUGCAAGUCGAGCGAACGGACGCGACGCUUGCUUCUCUGAUGUUAGCGGCGGACGGGUGAGUAACACGUGGAUCCCCUACCUAUCAGACUGGGAUAACUUCGGGACACCGGCUCUCAUACCGGAUAAUAUUUUGAACCUCAUUGUUCAAAAGUGAAAGACGGUCUUGCUGUCACUUAUAGAUGGAUCCUCGCUGCAUUAGCUAGUUGGUAAGGUAACGGCUUACCAAGGCAACGAUGCAUAGCCGACCUGAGAGGGUGAUCGGCCACACUGGAACUGAGACACGGUCCAGACUCCUACGGGAGGCAGCAGUAGGGAAUGGUAGGCAAUGGGCGAAAGCCUGACGGAGCAACGCCGCGUGAGUGAAGAAGGUCUUCGGAUCGUAAAACUCUGUUAUGAGGGAAGAACAUAUGUGGAAGUAACUGUGCACAUAUUGACGGUACCUAAUCAGAAAGCCACGGCUAACUACGUG
RNAcentral lists this ribosomal RNA (497 nucleotides) under uncultured bacterium. Its description in RNAcentral is "partial 16S ribosomal RNA". It matches the Rfam family "Bacterial small subunit ribosomal RNA", at positions 28 to 507 of the family's 1533-position model. The record is from RNAcentral.